GGGCCGGUAGUCUAGCGGAAGGAUGCCCGCCUUGCACGCGGGAGAUCCCGGGUUCGAAUCCCGGCCGGUCCACCA
This 75-nucleotide transfer RNA is filed under the name Pyrobaculum neutrophilum V24Sta. RNAcentral describes it as "tRNA-Ala (TGC) (tRNA-Ala-TGC-1-1)". It matches the Rfam family "tRNA". Rfam says of the family: Transfer RNA (tRNA) molecules are approximately 80 nucleotides in length. Their secondary structure includes four short double-helical elements and three loops (D, anti-codon, and T loops). Further hydrogen bonds mediate the characteristic L-shaped molecular structure. tRNAs have two regions of fundamental functional importance: the anti-codon, which is responsible for specific mRNA codon recognition, and the 3' end, to which the tRNAs corresponding amino acid is attached (by aminoacyl-tRNA synthetases). tRNAs cope with the degeneracy of the genetic code in two manners: having more than one tRNA (with a specific anti-codon) for a particular amino acid; and 'wobble' base-pairing, i.e. permitting non-standard base-pairing at the 3rd anti-codon position. The record is from RNAcentral. Lineage: Archaea; Thermoproteati; Thermoproteota; Thermoprotei; Thermoproteales; Thermoproteaceae.